This 468-nucleotide ribosomal RNA is filed under the name uncultured bacterium. RNAcentral describes it as "partial 16S ribosomal RNA". It matches the Rfam family "Bacterial small subunit ribosomal RNA", at positions 28 to 507 of the family's 1533-position model. The record is from RNAcentral.
GACGAACGCUGGCGGCGUGCUUAACACAUGCAAGUCGAACGGAAAGGCCCUGCUUUUGUGGGGUGCUCGAGUGGCGAACGGGUGAGUAACACGUGAGUAACCUGCCCUUGACUUUGGGAUAACUUCAGGAAACUGGGGCUAAUACCGGAUAGGAGCUCCUGCUGCAUGGUGGGGGUUGGAAAGUUUCGGCGGUUGGGGAUGGACUCGCGGCUUAUCAGCUUGUUGGUGGGGUAGUGGCUUACCAAGGCUUUGACGGGUAGCCGGCCUGAGAGGGUGACCGGCCACAUUGGGACUGAGAUACGGCCCAGACUCCUACGGGAGGCAGCAGUGGGGAAUAUUGCACAAUGGGCGGAAGCCUGAUGAAGCAACGCCGCGUGCGGGAUGACGGCCUUCGGGUUGUAAACCGCUUUCGCCUGUGACGCAGCGUGAGUGACGGUAAUGGGUAAAGAAGCACCGGCUAACUACGUG